This 555-nucleotide ribosomal RNA is filed under the name uncultured fungus. Its description in RNAcentral is "eukaryotic LSU rRNA". It matches the Rfam family "Eukaryotic large subunit ribosomal RNA", at positions 1 to 559 of the family's 3401-position model. Lineage: Eukaryota; Fungi. The record is from RNAcentral.
UAUCUGAAAUCAAGCAGGACCACCCGCUGAACUUAAGCAUAUCACUAAGCGGAGGAGAAGAAAUUAACUAAGAUUGCCUCAGUAACGGCGAGUGAAGCGGCAAAAGCCCAAACUGGAAAUCUUGUACACUACGUGUGCACGAAUUGUAAUCUAAAGGAUGCUUGCUCACCGGGUGGUGGCACAGAAGUGCCUUCGAAUGGGCCGCCAAAGAGGGUGCCAGCCCCGUCUGUGGUGCCACCGCCUAACGAGUGGGUAUUCAAAGAGUCGGGUUGUUUUGGAUUGCAGCCCUAAGUGGGAGAUAGACUUCUUCUAAGGCUAAAUAUAUAUGGGAAACCGAUAGCGAACAAGUACUGUGAAGGAAAGAUGAAAAGAACUUUGAAAAGAGAGUCAAAAGACUUGAAAUCGUUGAGAAGGAAGCGGUAGAAAUUUAUUCUUCGGCAGAGGUCGGUGGUGGUUGCCUAACCAUUGCUGGAGCACAGUACUGCAUAAGGCUGUGCCCGGUACCUGGGGGAAGCGGCGCCUUGACCUUUGUCGUGAGGCAAAUGAGGCCCCGCA